UACGGGGGGGGCAAGCGUUGUCCGGAUUUAUUGGGCGUAAAGAGCGUGUAGGCGGCCAGGUAGGUCUGCUGUGAAAACUCGAGGCUCAACCUCGAGAUGUCGGCGGAAACCAUCUGGCUAGAGUCCGGAAGAGGAGAGUGGAAUUCCUGGUGUAGCGGUGAAAUGCGCAGAUAUCAGGAAGAACACCCGUGGCGAAGGCGGCUCUCUGGGACGGUACUGACGCUGAGACGCGAAAGCGUGGGGAGCGAACAGG
RNAcentral lists this ribosomal RNA (253 nucleotides) under uncultured bacterium. RNAcentral describes it as "partial 16S ribosomal RNA". It matches the Rfam family "Bacterial small subunit ribosomal RNA", at positions 524 to 776 of the family's 1533-position model. The record is from RNAcentral.